CCUAGAGAAGCUUUGGAACGAAAGAAGCACGUGUCUGAAGACCACACACCCGCAGGACACCCCUAGGGAUACAGAAGAUGUUUAGACCUGGGGGACAUUGAACUCAGCAUGGGGGUCCUGGAUUCAUAGUCGUUGAGGGGAGAACCCAGGACUCCUACCUUACCCUUGGAAUCAGGACACAUACGGAUUCACGCGGGGAGCGAAAGGAGCAGAGCAUGGAGCACAUUGUUCCCUUCCCUGACUGCAGUCUGCAAGCACAGAGACUGCUGAUUCCCGCGUUUUUUCUCACAGUUCACCAGAAUAUCCUAAACCCAAGAGCUGUGCUGGUUUGAUGUGAAGAUCAGUGCUAUAAUAAAUGUAUGAUUGCAUCCAUCGUCUGGAGCGGGGAGGAAAUCAAAAUUGCAGUUUAUGUCUAUUUGCCAGUCAAACCCCAGAUAUGCUCUGGUCGCAAACUCCCUCUGUUCUGUAUCCUUACUUAAAAACUCUGGGUAAACACUGAGAUGUUUUAUGAAGAAUUGGGCAAAGCUUUGAACUCUUCUCUGUACUUACUAUUGAUAUCCAGAUUACUACAAGAUGGUCAGAAUAUUCUGCUCUUUGAAGAACAAAAUAUCUAAAAAUACCUCGUAGCCACUCAGUAACUAUUGCCUCAAUAUCCAUCUCUACAUUCCUAGUCCAAGGACUCUGAUUAGCUCUGGAAGGGAAAGAAAUGGUCAUCUUAAGUUAAGGCUCUCAGAGAUUUUCCUGGACACUUAAUAGCCACAUGGCAAAUUUCUAACCCCAUAAAUCAAAGCUCCAAUAAGUGUAGCCCUCUGUACUUGGGUGAGGGUGCAAAUGGCAUAUGUUUCUGAUUCUGUAAGACAUUUCAGCUUACUAGACUAGAAGAGUUUCAAUUCAAGCAUGGCCACUCACUAGUUAGUGACCCUUGGGAGCUUUAAGUAGAUCGCUGUAGAAGAUUCAGAUACUUUGUUUCCUUCUUUGCGCAAUAGGUUGAAUAAUACUGUGCACAUCACAGAGAAAUUGUAAGUGUUGAACAAAGUGGUAAGCAGAACACUUAGAAUGGUGCCUGUUUCAAUGUAAGUCCUCCAAUAAAUGGUAAUUGGCAUUAAUGUUUAUUACUGCUGAAAAUUACCCUCAUCUCAGGUAAAAUAGGUAGUUAUUGAUAAUACUGAAUUAAUAUUGAACAGUUUUCACUAUUUCUUAAAAAUCUUGCCAUAUUUUUUCUAUCAGAAUGAAAAUGAUGGGGCUGGGGCUUUAGCUCA
Long non-coding RNA from Chinchilla lanigera (long-tailed chinchilla), 1259 nucleotides. RefSeq lists it as uncharacterized. The record is from RefSeq and is a predicted model, not a curated record. The transcript is spliced from 3 exons. NCBI's taxonomy places the organism in Eukaryota, Metazoa, Chordata, Mammalia, Rodentia, Chinchillidae.